Molecule: ribosomal RNA, 253 nt
Filed under: uncultured bacterium
Lineage: Bacteria
Description: partial 16S ribosomal RNA
Rfam family: Bacterial small subunit ribosomal RNA
Source: RNAcentral
UACGAAGGGGGCUAGCGUUGUUCGGAUUCAUUGGGCGUAAAGGGUGCGUAGGCGGUCGGGUAAGUCGGAUGUGAAAUCCCAGGGCUCAACCCUGGAACUGCAUUCGAUACUGCCUGGCUAGGGUACUGGAGAGGAGACUGGAAUUUACGGUGUAGCGGUGAAAUGCGUAGAUAUCGUAAGGAAGACCAGUGGCGAAGGCGGGUCUCUGGACAGUUCCUGACGCUGAGGCACGAAGGCCAGGGGAGCAAACGGG